This is a long non-coding RNA of Planococcus citri (citrus mealybug), 585 nucleotides long. RefSeq lists it as uncharacterized. Lineage: Eukaryota; Metazoa; Arthropoda; Insecta; Hemiptera; Pseudococcidae. The record is from RefSeq and is a predicted model, not a curated record. The transcript is spliced from 5 exons.
CACCAUCUUCGAUCAACAAGUUGCAUGCAGCUGCAAAAACUGAGGUAAUUUUUCGCUGUCGGUGGUUCAAUUCGUUACUUUACACUUUCGUGGUAUUUUUUGAAAAAAAAAAAUCAUGAUUUAUGGAGAAGUUGGAUUCGAAUUCACUUUCUUCAUCGAUCGAGUUGCAUUCUUACGUAAUGAGGAAGACCCAUAUGCUUUAUGAGGGUCAUAGCGUAGCACGUUCGCCGGAUGCAGCCAGCCAUCGACAUAGUAUCCGGUCCUUGUUGCUCAUGACGUUUAGAUGACUUGUCAAGACAACUUUUUCAACCAAAUGAUUUAGGAAAUCAGACCGGUACCAGGAUACGAUAUAAAAUUGCGUGAAUUUAGAUUUUGAAAUGGAUUCAUGGUGGGAAAAUGUCAAUGUCGGGUUCAUGGAAUCAAGAGGAGAAGUUUUGACAAAGAAGGAGUAAAAGAAAAAGGGUAAUACGUUAUGGUAACUGCGAUUACAAAGGUUACAAAUCCUGACCCAAACGAUCCAGUUCGGAGAGUAAAAAGUCAAUGUCUUCUUGUCUGACCGCAGCGCUGGAGAUUAUGUUGCGGAAG